RNAcentral lists this long non-coding RNA (962 nucleotides) under Homo sapiens (human). RNAcentral's name for it is "HSALNT0036356". The record is from RNAcentral. Lineage: Eukaryota; Metazoa; Chordata; Mammalia; Primates; Hominidae.
UUUUCUUCUGAGUCUUUCAGAAGAAAUUCAAAGAAGACUAGAAGCCACUGGCAUGAAGGGUAAACGUCUAACUCUCAAAAUCAUGGUACGAAAGCCUGGGGCUCCUGUAGAAACUGCAAAAUUUGGAGGCCAUGGAAUUUGUGAUAACAUUGCCAGGACUGUAACUCUUGACCAGGCAACAGAUAAUGCAAAAAUAAUUGGAAAGGCGAUGCUAAACAUGUUUCAUACAAUGAAACUAAAUAUAUCAGAUAUGAGAGGGGUAAGUAUAUAGUAACAUUGUAAAUUCUGACUUUGUGUAAUGUAUCUCUCAUUUUUGAGGCUUGCUCUCAAAAGGGUUAUUGCUGGUGUAUAGGGACUUUAUAUGUAGGUCUUUAGCUGCUUUGUAAUACAAGGAAAAGAGAAACAAAAAUUCUUGACUUCCUCCAUUUUGACCUCCUUCAUUUUAGAAUAAUUUUCUUAGAUUCUUACUGUACUUUUCCAAGGUACCCCUGAUUAACCAGGGGCUAAUAUACAUGUCUUCCCUGUUCUUGUUUCCUAGAAGUAGAUAUGACUGUGAGGAAUAUGAAUACAUAAAUUUUGUACCUUUAAGUUCCUUUUUAAUCAGAAACAUACUCUGCAUCUGCUGUAUGAUGACCUAGAAGGGAGUGAAACCACAGGCACAUCAAGAUGCCUUUGAAACAGUCGCCCAUCAGUUCAGUCAAGCCACUUUCCUAGUGGGUCAUACUCUGUCCGUGAUGUCUUCCAAGUUCAGAAAGCUAAGAAAUCCACCGAAGAGGAGCACAAAGAAGUAUUUCGGGCUGCUGUGGAUCUGGAAAUAUCAUCUGCUUCUAGAACUUGCACUUUCUUGCCACCUUUUCCUGCACAUCUGCCGACCAGUCCUGAUACUAACAAGGCUGAGUCUUCAGGGAAAUGGAAUGGUCUACAUACUCCUGUCAGUGUGCAGUCGAGACUUAACCUGAGUA